CAUGACAUUUGCUUAAAAGGUGCACUUGCAUCACUACCAGAUGGACCUGCGUUGUAUUAGCUAGUUGGUGGGGUAACGGCUCACCAAGGCGACGAUACAUAGCCGACCUGAGAGGGUGAUCGGCCACACUGGGACUGAGACACGGCCCAGACUCCUACGGGAGGCAGCAGUAGGGAAUCUUCGGCAAUGGACGGAAGUCUGACCGAGCAACGCCGCGUGAGUGAAGAAGGUUUUCGGAUCGUAAAGCUCUGUUGUAAGAGAAGAACGAGUGUGAGAGUGGAAAGUUCACACUGUGACGGUAUCUUACCAGAAAGGGACG
This 319-nucleotide ribosomal RNA is filed under the name Klebsiella pneumoniae. Its description in RNAcentral is "bacterial SSU rRNA". It matches the Rfam family "Bacterial small subunit ribosomal RNA", at positions 189 to 495 of the family's 1533-position model. Lineage: Bacteria; Pseudomonadati; Pseudomonadota; Gammaproteobacteria; Enterobacterales; Enterobacteriaceae. The record is from RNAcentral.